RNAcentral lists this ribosomal RNA (450 nucleotides) under uncultured organism. Its description in RNAcentral is "partial 16S ribosomal RNA". It matches the Rfam family "Bacterial small subunit ribosomal RNA", at positions 331 to 797 of the family's 1533-position model. The record is from RNAcentral.
GUACACUCCUACGGGAGGCAGCAGUGGGGAAUAUUGGACAAUGGGCGCAAGCCUGAUCCAGCCAUGCCGCGUGAGUGAUGAAGGCCCUAGGGUUGUAAAGCUCUUUCACCGGAGAAGAUAAUGACGGUAUCCGGAGAAGAAGCCCCGGCUAACUUCUUGCCAGCAGCCGCGGUAAUACGAAGGGGGCUAGCGUUGUUCGGAAUUACUGGGCGUAAAGCGCACGUAGGCGGAUCGAUCAGUCAGGGGUGAAAUCCCAGGGCUUAACCCUGGAACUGCCUUUGAUACUGUCGGUCUUGAGUAUGGAAGAGGUGAGUGGAAUUCCGAGUGUAGAGGUGAAAUUCGUAGAUAUUCGGAGGAACACCAGUGGCGAAGGCGGCUCACUGGUCCAUUACUGACGCUGAGGUGCGAAAGCGUGGGGAGCAAACAGGAUUAGAAACCCGGGUAGUCCCA